AUACGGAGGGUGCAAGCGUUAUCCGGAAUCAUUGGGUUUAAAGGGUCCGUAGGCGGGCGAUUAAGUCAGAGGUGAAAUCCCACAGCUCAACUGUGGAACUGCCUUUGAUACUGGUUGUCUUGAGUUACAGUGAAGUAGAUAGAAUGUGUAGUGUAGCGGUGAAAUGCAUAGAUAUUACACAGAAUACCGAUUGCGAAGGCAGUCUACUAACUGUAUACUGACGCUAAUGGACGAAAGCGUGGGGAGCGAACAGGAUUAGAAACCCCGGUAGUCC
Molecule: ribosomal RNA, 274 nt
Filed under: uncultured bacterium
Lineage: Bacteria
Description: partial 16S ribosomal RNA
Rfam family: Bacterial small subunit ribosomal RNA
Source: RNAcentral